Molecule: ribosomal RNA, 468 nt
Filed under: uncultured bacterium
Lineage: Bacteria
Description: partial 16S ribosomal RNA
Rfam family: Bacterial small subunit ribosomal RNA
Source: RNAcentral
GACGAACGCUGGCGGCGUGCUUAACACAUGCAAGUCGAACGGAAAGGCCCUGCUUUUGUUGGGUGCUCGAGUGGCGAACGGGUGAGUAACACGUGAGUAACCUGCCCUUGACUUUGGGAUAACUUCAGGAAACUGGGGCUAAUACCGGAUAGGAGCUCCUGCUGCAUGGUGGGGGUUGGAAAGUUUCGGCGGUUGGGGAUGGACUCGCGGCUUAUCAGCUUGUUGGUGGGGUAGUGGCUUACCAAGGCUUUGACGGGUAGCCGGCCUGAGAGGGUGACCGGCCACAUUGGGACUGAGAUACGGCCCAGACUCCUACGGGAGGCAGCAGUGGGGAAUAUUGCACAAUGGGCGGAAGCCUGAGGCAGCAACGCCGCGUGCGGGAUGACGGCCUUCGGGUUGUAAACCGCUUUCGCCUGUGACGAAGCGUGAGUGACGGUAAUGGGUAAAGAAGCACCGGCUAACUACGUG